RNAcentral lists this small nuclear RNA (107 nucleotides) under Equus asinus (donkey). Lineage: Eukaryota; Metazoa; Chordata; Mammalia; Perissodactyla; Equidae. The record is from RNAcentral.
GUUCUCACUUUAGCAGCAUAUACACUAAAAUGGGAACGACGCGGAGAAGAUUAGCACGGCCCCUGAGCAACGAGGACAUGCAAAUUUGCGAAGCGUUCCAUAUUUUU